ACUCCUACGGGAGGCAGCAGUGGGGAAUAUUGCACAAUGGGCGCAAGCCUGAUGCAGCCAUGCCGCGUGUGUGAAGAAGGCCUUCGGGUUGUAAAGCACUUUCAGCGGGGAGGAAGGCGAUACGGUUAAUAACCGUGUUGAUUGACGUUACCCGCAGAAGAAGCACCGGCUAACUCCGUGCCAGCAGCCGCGGUAAUACGGAGGGUGCAAGCGUUAAUCGGAAUUACUGGGCGUAAAGCGCACGCAGGCGGUCUGUCAAGUCGGAUGUGAAAUCCCCGGGCUCAACCUGGGAACUGCAUUCGAAACUGGCAGGCUUGAGUCUUGUAGAGGGGGGUAGAAUUCCAGGUGUAGCGGUGAAAUGCGUAGAGAUCUGGAGGAAUACCGGUGGCGAAGGCGGCCCCCUGGACAAAGACUGACGCUCAGGUGCGAAAGCGUGGGGAGCAAACAGGAUUAGAAACCCCUGUAGUCCCAUGAU
This 475-nucleotide ribosomal RNA is filed under the name uncultured organism. RNAcentral describes it as "partial 16S ribosomal RNA". It matches the Rfam family "Bacterial small subunit ribosomal RNA", at positions 335 to 801 of the family's 1533-position model. The record is from RNAcentral.